RNAcentral lists this ribosomal RNA (406 nucleotides) under uncultured bacterium. Its description in RNAcentral is "partial 16S ribosomal RNA". It matches the Rfam family "Bacterial small subunit ribosomal RNA", at positions 30 to 526 of the family's 1533-position model. The record is from RNAcentral.
AUUGAACGCUGGCGGCAGGCCUAACACAUGCAAGUCGAACGAGUGGCGGACGGGUGAGUAAUGUCUGGGAAACUGCCUGAUGGAGGGGGAAAACUACGGGAAACGGUAGAAAAUACCGCAUACCAUGGGAUGGGCACAGAUGGGAUUAGCUAGUAGGUGGGGUAAAGGCUCACCUAGGCGCCGAUCCCUAGCUGGUCUGAGAGGAUGACCAGCCACACUGGAACUGAGACACGGUCCAGACUCCUACGGGAGGCAGCAGUUGGGAAUAUUGCACAAUGGGCGCAAGCCUGAUGCAGCCAUGCCGCGUGUAUGAAGAAGGCCUUCGGGUUGUAAAGUACUUUCAGCGGGGAGGCGUUACCCGCAGAAGAAGCACCGGCUAACUCCGUGCCAGCAGCCGCGGUAAUAC